RNAcentral lists this ribosomal RNA (440 nucleotides) under Caloplaca cancarixiticola. RNAcentral's name for it is "mitochondrial SSU rRNA". It matches the Rfam family "Bacterial small subunit ribosomal RNA", at positions 459 to 928 of the family's 1533-position model. Lineage: Eukaryota; Fungi; Ascomycota; Lecanoromycetes; Teloschistales; Teloschistaceae. The record is from RNAcentral.
AAAUAUGAUAAUGACUUUAUCUCCCCAUAAGUCUUGACCAAAUUACGUGCCAGCAGUCGCGGUAAUACGUAGAAGACAAGUGUUAUUCAUCUUUAAUAGGUUUAAAGGGUACUUAGACGGUAAAUCAAGCCUUAAAAAGGGACUAAUUUGCUAGAGUUUUAUGUGAAAAAGUAUUAAAGUACUGCUGGUGUAGAGAUGAAAUUCUGUCAUACCUUGAAUGGCACAGGUUAAGGCGAAAGCAUCUUUUUAUGUAAAAACUGACGUUGAAGGACGAAGGCUUUGUGUCUCGAACAGGAUUAGAUACCCUAGUAGUCUAAGCAGACAAUGAUGAAUGUCAUAGAUUAGAUGUUAUUUGAUCUAUAAAUGAAAGUGUAAGCAUUCCACCUCAAGAGUAAUUUGGCAACAUUGGAACUGAAAUCAUUAGACCGUUUCUGAAACCA